CCGGCAAGCUUUUCUGUCGCGCCGCCUUCGGGCGGUGAGGAAAGUCCGGACAGCGCAGAGCGCCUCCCUGUGGAAAGCACAGAUAGGUGAAAGUUUAUGGAGCGCGUAACAGAAAACAACCGCCGGUUUGGCCCGGACUUGUUCCGGGGCCGGCAAGGGUGAAAACGCGGGGUAAGAGCCCACGACCGGCGGCGGCGACGCCGUCGGGGUACGCACCGGAGGGCUGCAAGGCCAAAUAUAUCGGCGUCUGAGGGCUGCUCGCCUGAGCCGAGGGGUAGGCUGCAUCAGAUAAAUGACAGAAGCCCGCUUGCGGGUACAGAAUCCGGCUUACCGGCUUGCCUUUUUU
RNAcentral lists this RNase P RNA (346 nucleotides) under Oscillospiraceae bacterium. RNAcentral describes it as "RNase P RNA component class A". It matches the Rfam family "Bacterial RNase P class A". Rfam says of the family: Ribonuclease P (RNase P) is a ubiquitous endoribonuclease, found in archaea, bacteria and eukarya as well as chloroplasts and mitochondria. Lineage: Bacteria; Bacillati; Bacillota; Clostridia; Eubacteriales; Oscillospiraceae. The record is from RNAcentral.